This is a long non-coding RNA of Homo sapiens (human), 1349 nucleotides long. Lineage: Eukaryota; Metazoa; Chordata; Mammalia; Primates; Hominidae. The record is from Ensembl.
UAGUAUACAAUUUAUUUCUCCAUGGGCAACAAGACAUGCCAGCAACUGCACGGCUACUUCUCCAUUUAGCCACUGGAGAUGAUCUCCACACCACACCGCUGCUGCCAGAGGGAGCAUGGAGGGAUGGUGUCAGCAAUUUGGGACUGUUUUUUCUAUCUCUUUAGUGCCUCUUUCAACAAUAUGAAGUUAAAACCAGGACAGAGAAUAAAGGGUCCCUGUAUUCAUGCCUUCCUGGAAAUCUCAGUGCAAGGCCCUAUCAGGAGGUUUCCUGGAGCAGCUAAGGGAACAGCUAGACCACCCAGGAAGAAAUGACAGAAGCCUACCUGACUUCCAAUCUGCUUGCUUCAUGGUGUAAUGGGGGCCUAGACAGAAGCACCCCAAGGACACUUACAACAACUGUUCUGCCAGCUCUAGUCCAUUGGAGAAGAUGUGCCAACAUACCUUCUCACCAUCCCUAGAGCCCAACCUUGCUAUGGAAAGGUCAAACCCUUACCAUUGGCCCUGCCAAGGAUCCCCAGACAGAGAAGCACAAUGGAGGCCAUAAAUUAUGGCUUCUUAUCAUGGCCUCCACAUAACUUAAACUCUGGAUGGUGAAUGAAAUCUGGGGCCAAGUCUUAAAGGGUCAGGGUAGCCAAUGAGCAUAACUCAAUAUUUGUGUUUCUAAGAGAAAACCACAGAACCUCCAUAUCCAUGGCAAACUGGCCAGCCACAGGCUGGAUCCAGUGUGCAGUAGUGUUUUGUGUACACCAUUCACUAUUUGUCUACUUGGGUUAAAAAUGUUUUAUAUUAGUUAGCAAUGUUUAAACAUUGGGAGAAUUAAAGGGAAAUGAAAACGUACUUCCCACAAAUACUUGCACAUAAAUAUUCACAGCAGCAUUGUUUAUAAUUGCCCAAAACUAGAAACAACCCAAAUAUCCAUCAACUGAUGAAUGAUAAACAAGUUGUGGUAUAUUCAUCCAAUAAAACAAUAUUCAGCAAUAAAAAUAAACAAAUCAGGCACUUAAUAUAAUUGAAUAUCAAGGUCAUUAUGUUGAGUGAAAGAGGCCAGAAAAUAAAAGUAUACACUAUUUGAUUCCAUUUAUAUAAUAUUCUAGAAAAUGAAAACCAGUCUAUACUUACAGAAAACAAGGUGGUAGCUUACAGAGAUGGGGUAGAGGGAGGGAGAGAUGACAGAGAGGCAUAAAAAAACUUUCCGGACAAUGAAAAUGUUCUGUAUUUUAAUUGUGGUGAUGGUUUCAUGGAUGUACAAGUUCAUCAAAUCUCAUCAAGUUAAAUAUAUGCAUUUAUUUUAUAUUAAGUGUACCUCAAUAAAGCAGAAAAAUUUAAAAUUGGUAAUAUUUAUAUACAAA